AUACAGAGGGUGCAAGCGUUAUCCGGAAUUACUGGGCGUAAAGCGCGCGUAGGCGGAUGAUUAAGUCAGUUGUGAAAGCCCUGGGCUCAACCUAGGAACUGCAUCUGAUACUGGUCGUCUAGAGUUUAAGAGAGGGAAGUGGAAUUCCAGGUGUAGCAGUGAAAUGCGUAGAUAUCUGGAGGAACAUCAGUGGCGAAGGCGACUUCCUGGCUUAAAACUGACGCUGAGGUGCGAAAGCGUGGGUAGCGAACGGGAUUAGAAACCCUAGUAGUCC
This 274-nucleotide ribosomal RNA is filed under the name uncultured bacterium. Its description in RNAcentral is "partial 16S ribosomal RNA". It matches the Rfam family "Bacterial small subunit ribosomal RNA", at positions 523 to 796 of the family's 1533-position model. The record is from RNAcentral.